This 819-nucleotide ribosomal RNA is filed under the name uncultured archaeon. RNAcentral's name for it is "bacterial SSU rRNA". It matches the Rfam family "Archaeal small subunit ribosomal RNA", at positions 79 to 885 of the family's 1478-position model. The record is from RNAcentral.
GCCCUUACUGCUCAGUAACACGUGGUCAAUCUACCGUAAAGAGGAAGAUAACGAUGGGAAACUGUCGCUAAUAUUUCAUAUGCUAGGACAUCUGGAAGGAGUUCUAGUUCAAAGGGUUUCGAAUUGGAGAAUUACCGCUUUACGAUGAGACUGCGGCGGAUCAGGCUGUUGGCGGGGUAACGGCCCACCAAACCGAUAACCUGUAGGGGAUGUGAGAGCAUAGGCCCCGAGAAGGGCACUGAGACAAGGGCCCUAGCGCUACGGCGUGCAGCAGGCGCGCAAACUCCACAAUGCGCGGAAGCGUGAUGGGGGGAAUCUGAGCGGCUCACUUCGGUGAGCCUUUUGCCAAGUUUAGCAAGCUUGGCGAAUAAGUGCUGGGCAAGACCGGUGGCAGCCGCCACGGUAAUACCGGCAGCACAAGUGGUGUCCACGAUUAUUGGGCUUAAAGCGCUCGUAGCUGGCAGAUGCCGUCUCGUGUGAAAUAUUGGUGCUCAACACCAAUGCGGGCACGAGAUACCCAUUUGCUAGGGAGCGGGUGAGGUCAGGAGUACUUAUGGGGAAGGGGUAAAAUCCUAUAAUCCUGUAAGGACUAACGGUGGCGAAGGCGCCUGACUAGAACGCAUCCGACAGUGAGGAGCGAAGGCUAGGAGAACGAAUCGGAUUAGAUACCCGAGUAGCCCUAGCAGUAAAUUAUGCAGACUCUGAUGUUGCACAUAUCUUGAAUAUGUGCAGUACCGUAGCGCAAGUGUUAAGUCUGCCGCCUGGGGAGUACGGUCGCAAGAUUGAAACUUAAAGGAAUUGGCGGGGGAGCACAAGGGC